UACGGGGGGAGCAAGCGUUGUUCGGAUUUACUGGGCGUAAAGCGUGCGCAGGCGGUUUUGUAAGCCAGAUGUGAAAUCCCCGGGCUUAACCUGGGAAUGGCAUUUGGGACUGCAAGGCUGGAGUGCGGCAGAGGAGACUGGAAUUCCUGGUGUAGCAGUGAAAUGCGUAGAUAUCAGGAGGAACACCGAUGGCGAAGGCAGGUCUCUGGGCUGACACUGACGCUCAUGCACGAAAGCGUGGGGAGCAAACAGG
RNAcentral lists this ribosomal RNA (253 nucleotides) under uncultured bacterium. Its description in RNAcentral is "partial 16S ribosomal RNA". It matches the Rfam family "Bacterial small subunit ribosomal RNA", at positions 524 to 776 of the family's 1533-position model. The record is from RNAcentral.